RNAcentral lists this ribosomal RNA (100 nucleotides) under Acanthosepion pharaonis. Lineage: Eukaryota; Metazoa; Mollusca; Cephalopoda; Sepiida; Sepiidae. The record is from RNAcentral.
UGUUGAAACACCAGUACUCAUACAAUCACCUAAGUUAAGCAAUGUCGACCUCAGUCAGUACCUAGAUGGGUGACCACUUGGGAAUAUCAGGUGCUGUAAG